CAAGAAAAGAGGGAAUCGAACCCC
This 24-nucleotide transfer RNA is filed under the name Alytes obstetricans obstetricans. Its description in RNAcentral is "partial tRNA-Ser". Lineage: Eukaryota; Metazoa; Chordata; Amphibia; Anura; Alytidae. RNAcentral also lists the same sequence under 2 other names. The record is from RNAcentral.